UGAAAACAUCCAGCGAAUUAGCCUCCACUGCCUUCUGUGGCAGAGACUUCCACAGAUUCACAACUCUCUGGGUGAAAAGGUUUCUCCUCAUCUCAGUGCUAAAUAGCCCACCCCUUUAUUCUUUGUACUGUGACCCCUUGUUCUGGACUUCCCCAACAU
Long non-coding RNA from Amblyraja radiata (thorny skate), 159 nucleotides. RefSeq lists it as uncharacterized. NCBI's taxonomy places the organism in Eukaryota, Metazoa, Chordata, Chondrichthyes, Rajiformes, Rajidae. The transcript is spliced from 3 exons. The record is from RefSeq and is a predicted model, not a curated record.